GAGGAUAUAGCUCAGUGGUAGAGCGCAUGCUUAGCAUGCACGAGGUCCUGGGUUCAACCCCCAGUACCUCCA
This 72-nucleotide transfer RNA is filed under the name Camelus bactrianus (Bactrian camel). It matches the Rfam family "tRNA". Rfam says of the family: Transfer RNA (tRNA) molecules are approximately 80 nucleotides in length. Their secondary structure includes four short double-helical elements and three loops (D, anti-codon, and T loops). Further hydrogen bonds mediate the characteristic L-shaped molecular structure. tRNAs have two regions of fundamental functional importance: the anti-codon, which is responsible for specific mRNA codon recognition, and the 3' end, to which the tRNAs corresponding amino acid is attached (by aminoacyl-tRNA synthetases). tRNAs cope with the degeneracy of the genetic code in two manners: having more than one tRNA (with a specific anti-codon) for a particular amino acid; and 'wobble' base-pairing, i.e. permitting non-standard base-pairing at the 3rd anti-codon position. The record is from Rfam by way of RNAcentral. RNAcentral also lists the same sequence under 3 other names. Lineage: Eukaryota; Metazoa; Chordata; Mammalia; Artiodactyla; Camelidae.